Molecule: ribosomal RNA, 254 nt
Filed under: uncultured bacterium
Lineage: Bacteria
Description: partial 16S ribosomal RNA
Rfam family: Bacterial small subunit ribosomal RNA
Source: RNAcentral
UACGUAGGGUGCGAGCGUUGUCCGGAAUUAUUGGGCGUAAAGGGCUCGUAGGCGGUUUGUCGCGUCGGGAGUGAAAACCCAGGGCUUAACCCUGGGCUGGCUUUCGAUACGGGCAGACUAGAGGUAUGCAGGGGAGAACGGAAUUCCUGGUGUAGCGGUGAAAUGCGCAGAUAUCAAGGAGGAACACCGGUGGCGAAGGCGGUUCUCUGGGCAUUACCUGACGCUGAGGAGCGAAAGCGUGGGGAGCGAACAGG